UUGAAAGGGAAACGAUUGAAGUCAGUCGUACCAGCGGGAAAUCAACCUUUCGAGUGGGGGUUUUGGAGUUUUGAAGAGUUUCAAAACCUUUGAGAUUUCAAAAAUUUCGCUCUUUUGGUGUACUUUCUCGUGGGUAGGUUAACAUCGAUUUUGAUCAUCAUAAAAAGAUUGGAGGAAUGUAGCUUCGAUCUUGUAUUGAAGUGUUAUAGCCUUUGGUAAAUGUGAUGAUUAGGAUCGAGGAUUGCAACGAAUACCCUUUUGGGCUAUCCGCCUGAUCUCUGAUACGUGGCCUUGGUAUCGAAAGCUUGCUUAUGGUAUUAAGGUAUUACGGUCAAAAGGUUAGAACGGAUUACAUUCGUUAAGGAUGUUGACGUA
Molecule: ribosomal RNA, 375 nt
Filed under: uncultured Glomeromycotina
Lineage: Eukaryota; Fungi; Glomeromycota
Description: LSU rRNA
Source: RNAcentral